Pezoporus occidentalis (night parrot) is the source of this 2712-nucleotide long non-coding RNA. RefSeq lists it as uncharacterized. The record is from RefSeq and is a predicted model, not a curated record. The transcript is spliced from 2 exons. Lineage: Eukaryota; Metazoa; Chordata; Aves; Psittaciformes; Psittacidae.
CCCUUGGAAAGUUCUGACUUUUCACUGAAGUGUCAGGCAUCUAAACCCAGAAAUAUUUUCUGAGCAAUCAAAGGUAUUUAUUAUAAAUGUUAAUUUAGCAUCUCACAGAAAUUGUAAGCUGAGUCCCUCACCCUGACCAAAAAAUGCUUUUAUGGAUAUGCAAUAGUCAAGAACCACUGUGACAGAAUCCAGAAUAACACCCACUGUUUCAAAACAGAAAAUCAUAAUUUAGGAAGGGGCAGACAGAGCACUCUAGUCUGUAAUCUAGAGGUGUGCGUGCCAAAAAAAGCAGUGGGAGCUGCUCUAGUGGUGUUCCGGAAUAAAAUUAUUAGCUAUAGAAGAAAAAUAUAUAUAUUUUUAGUAAAGGUAUCAUAAUCUCUCAUCUGGGUCAUGGCAAUGCCAAAAAUGCAGAUGGAUGAAAGGAAACUGGGUUGCUAAAGUGAAACUAAGGAGAGGCAUCUUUCAUGAUACCGAUAGCCACAAAUCAUCAUGCGCUACUUGUCAACUACUGCUACACUAUUAAGCCUUCUGUAUAAGUAGCUAAUUAGGUUUCUGGAGAGCUUACCUAGUAUCUCUCUCCCAUGUCUCACUGACUCCCCAGAAGAUGAGCAUCUGUCCCUGGGAAAAAAACUGUCACGGGCAGUGGCACUUGCAACACCUUACCCCCACACAGCUUCCUUCUUUGCUCCUGUUUUUCUAGGCCCCUGGUAUCCCCAGCUGAUCACACACUAGUUGUCCCUGGCUCUUUAGGGAGUAGAGGAAGUAGCACCACCGGCUAGUGAGUAAAGAGGAAAAAGCAGUCUCCUUCCCCAGGAGAAGCAGGGGCUGUGCAAAACACUAGGGUGAGAACUGGACAGCACAGGAAUGAAAGCAUAGAGAGAGAAUGGUCCCAGAUAUCCAGGGUGAUAUCACACAAAAACCUAAUAUUGUAGAUAAUGCCACAAUCUGGCAAUUUUACUACUGUUCACCAGUUAAACACAUUUGCCAUGACGAUGUUUGUGAAGAUUGAGUCUAGUUAACAUAGACUAUGUCAACCUUCUGUGACAGUACUGAAGGUACCUAUUGCCUGGGACACCUACUCUGUGUGACACCUGUAACAAAAUAAACAUUUGACCCUCUGAAAGCUGUCUACCACUAAUCACAUCGUGGCUGGGAUAAUGUUUUUACUAUGCACCAUGCUGUGCCUAGCCAGAGCAUACUAAUAGUUCUGCAGAGAUAGAUAAAUCUCUCAACUGGUGUCCAUUUCCAUGAGAUCUUCAAUGUGAUAUGGAAAUAUUUUUCCAGAGUAGUCCAUUACUGUAAUUGUAUUCAUUUAUAUUUGAGAUAGGAGUUAAAAAAAUAAAUAAAAAUCAGUAUUGCUUUAAAUCUAAAUACCUUGCACACAGCAAUUUUCUCAAGAUGCUAAACGUGUUAAGUGCCCUCUGUAGUCUGUUAUUGGCAAACUUGAAGCUAAUAAAAAUAAUUGAGAAAAAAACUAAUACAGCAUUGUAAAACCCAUUCAAGAACCUCAGUACUUAUUCCACUUGUAGAGAACAACAAGGAACUUAGAUGCUGUGCUUCCACAGAAUAUUAGCAAGCUAAAUAGAGCAGAGCUAAGCAACUAGAAAGGCAGGGUUUUGCAAGUAUAGUCACACUGAUAUAACCUGGGACAACCAGUCAUUUAAAAAUUAGGAAAAUAAAUACAAAAAGAGAGAUGCUUAAAGCUUAAAUAUUUCUCAUAUACUAAGCCAGCUGCAGUUCCAGAGGGAAAUAACUUCAGUGAGCACUUCUAUGAUUUUCCUAGUGUAAAAAAGCUUCUAAGGUGAUAAUUAAUUGAAUUCAUAAAAUUUAAAUUUGAGGCUGCACAAGGCCUUUUAAACUAUCAAGUCUGAACUCUGGGGCAUCAGACUUAAAUUUCAUCUUGCAUUGAUUUCAGAAACUUAUGUGAUCUAAAGGAUACCAGAAAUUAGAAAAGCAUCCAUUCCUGAUGAGAAGAUACCAGCAAUGGAGAGUUCAUUGCUUCCCUUAGGAAUAUAUUCCAGUGCUUAGUCACUGUUAAAACAUCUGGUUUGUGUCUUUUAGCACAGAUUUAGCUUAUAGCCUGCAUUUAUCUUUUAAAAAUAAACAUUCCAGUAUCAUGCAUUUUUUCUUGAAAAAAAAUUCAAAAGUUCAUUAAAUCACUGUUUUACAUUUUCCUUUAUUUUUAGUAUUUUCUGGGAAGAAUGAGAGGGCUCCUGCUUUCUUAUAUCCUUCGUAGCUUCUUGGAAACUACUUUAAAACAUGGACUACCACACUGGGCAUGGCAUUCCAGAACUGAUCUCACUAGUGUCUAAUACAGAAGCACUGGCACACCACUUUUGUUGUCUACUCACUGUUUGCAUGCAUCACUUCUCUCAGAGCUCAUGAGAAGUCAUGGCACUACAACCCACAAGCACUGCAGGGAAUCUUGCCCUCCUUGGUUAUUGAUUUUCAGGAAUAUAAUUAGAGGAAAUAUGUUUUAAUGAGACCAGUUUACUAGGAAAUCAAGGUAUGCCUACAUGACUGCUAUGUCCUCAUGUUCUAGUCCUGCAUCAUCCACAUACUUUAUUAUCAGAGGUUUCACAGUGGUGAAAUUAUCAAAUAUCCAGUUUUCUACUGACCCCUCUAAAACCUGUCAUCAACAGCCAAGCAAUAAUUUUUAAGUUCACUGAAUCAGAAUAGGCUGUACUUCUGAAAAAAAAAAAAAAAAGCCAA